UAGGGAAUCUUCCGCAAUGGCCGCAAGUCUGACGGAGCAACGCCGCGUGAGUGAAGAAGGAUUUCGGUUCGUAAAACUCUGUUGUUAGAGAAGAACAGCGCAUAGAGUAACUGUUAUGCGUGUGACGGUAUCUAACCAGAAAGCCACGGCUAACUACGUGCCAGCAGCCGCGGUAAUACGUAGGUGGCAAGCGUUGUCCGGAUUUAUUGGGCGUAAAGCGAGCGCAGGCGGUAAAUUAAGUCUGGUGUGAAAGCCCCCGGCUCAACCGGGGAGGGUCAUUGGAAACUGGUUGACUUGAGUGCAGAAGAGGAGAGUGGAAUUCCAUGGGUAGCGGUGAAAUGCGUAGAUAUAUGGAGGAACACCAGUGGCGAAGGCGACUCUCUGGUCUGUAACUGACGCUGAGGCUCGAAAGCGUGGGUAGCAAACAGG
This 429-nucleotide ribosomal RNA is filed under the name Bacteroidota bacterium. RNAcentral describes it as "Bacteroidetes bacterium partial 16S ribosomal RNA". It matches the Rfam family "Bacterial small subunit ribosomal RNA", at positions 355 to 776 of the family's 1533-position model. Lineage: Bacteria; Pseudomonadati; Bacteroidota. The record is from RNAcentral.